GUAAAUUGUACCUGCUGCUUCUAGGGACAACAGCUCUCAGUCUGGUGACUACGCCAUUGCUUUUCAAGCUUAUACCUGGUGUAGUUCAUCUUGGUGUGCUGCUUAGGUGGUUCCCACCUGAUAGUCCAAGUGAGUUUGGAUUCAAAAGUGACAAUUUCCGAUCUGAUAGUGCUAAACAAAGGAUUGCACUGGUAUCCAAGGAUCUGAUUCACGAA
This 215-nucleotide unclassified non-coding RNA is filed under the name Hevea brasiliensis (rubber tree). Lineage: Eukaryota; Viridiplantae; Streptophyta; Magnoliopsida; Malpighiales; Euphorbiaceae. The record is from RNAcentral.